UAAUACGAAGGGAGCUAGCGUUACUCGGAAUCACUGGGCGUAAAGCGCAUGUAGGCGGAAUUAUAAGUCAGGGGUGAAAUCCCAAGGCUCAACCUUGGAAUUGCCUUUGAAACUGUAAUACUUGAGUAUGGUAGAGGAUAGUGGAAUUUCCAGUGUAGAGGUGAAAUUCGUAGAUAUUGGAAAGAACACCGGUGGCGAAGGCGGCUAUCUGGACCAUUACUGACGCUGAGAUGCGAAAGCGUGGGGAGCAAACGGGAUUAGAUACCCCGGUAGUCCACGCCGUAAACGAUGAGUGCUAGUUGUUAGAUUUUUCUAGUAACACAGUUAACACGUUAAGCACUCCGCCUGGGGAGUACGGUCGCAAGAUUA
This 369-nucleotide ribosomal RNA is filed under the name uncultured bacterium. RNAcentral describes it as "bacterial SSU rRNA". It matches the Rfam family "Bacterial small subunit ribosomal RNA", at positions 521 to 896 of the family's 1533-position model. The record is from RNAcentral.